GACGAACGCUGGCGGCGUGCCUAAUACAUGCCAGUUGAGCGAUGAAGAUUGGUGCUUGCACCAAUUUGAAGAGCAGCGAACGGGUGAGUAACGCGUGGGGAAUCUGCCUUUGAGCGGGGGACAACAUUUGGAAACGAAUGCUAAUACCGCAUAACAACUUUAAACAUAAGUUUUAAGUUUGAAAGAUGCAAUUGCAUCACUCAAAGAUGAUCCCGCGUUGUAUUAGCUAGUUGGUGAGGUAAAGGCUCACCAAGGCGAUGAUACAUAGCCGACCUGAGAGGGUGAUCGGCCACAUUGGGACUGGGACACGGCCCAAACUCCUACGGGAGGCAGCAGUAGGGAAUCUUCGGCAAUGGACGAAAGUCUGACCGAGCAACGCCGCGUGAGGGAAGAAGGGUUUCGGAUCGUAAAACUCUGUUGGUAGAGAAGAACGUUGGUGAGAGUGGAAAGCUCAUCAAGUGACGGUAACUACCCAGAAAGGGACGGCUAACUACGUG
RNAcentral lists this ribosomal RNA (497 nucleotides) under uncultured bacterium. RNAcentral's name for it is "partial 16S ribosomal RNA". It matches the Rfam family "Bacterial small subunit ribosomal RNA", at positions 28 to 507 of the family's 1533-position model. The record is from RNAcentral.